This 374-nucleotide ribosomal RNA is filed under the name uncultured bacterium. RNAcentral's name for it is "bacterial SSU rRNA". It matches the Rfam family "Bacterial small subunit ribosomal RNA", at positions 523 to 898 of the family's 1533-position model. The record is from RNAcentral.
AGACGUAGGGGGCGAGCGUUGUCCGGAAUUACUGGGCGUAAAGGGCACGCAGGCGGUGCGCCAAGUCGAGGGUGUAAAGUUACGGCUCAACCGUGACAUUGCAAUCGAUACUGGCGCGCUGGAGUGCGGGAGAGGGAAGUGGAAUUCCCGGUGUAGCGGCGAAAUGCGUAGAUAUCGGGAGGAACGCCAGUGGCGAAGGCGGCUUCCUGGCCCGCGACUGACGCUCAUGUGCGAAAGCCAGGGGAGCGAACCGGAUUAGAUACCCGGGUAGUCCUGGCCGUAAACGAUGGGUGCUAGGUGUAGGCGCGUCAAGCGUCUGUGCCGAAGUUAACGCGAUAAGCACCUCGCCUGGGGAGUACGGUCGCAAGGCCGAA